UAAAGCAAAGAAGAGCGCAGAGUGAAUGCCUUGGCAUUGGGAGCCGAUGAAGGACGUGGUUAACUGCGAUAAGCUGCGGGGAGCUGUAAGCAAGCUUUGAUCCGCAGAUUUCCGAAUGGAGCAAUCCACAUGAAGUAGUUCAUGUAUCCAUACGUGAAUUCAUAGCGUAUGGAGGGGAACCGCCUGAACUGAAACAUCUAAGUAGGGCGAGGAAGAGAAAUCAACCGAGAUUCCGUAAGUAGUGGCGAGCGAACGCGGAAGAGGCCAAACCGAGAGAAGAAAUUCUUUCGGGGUUCGGACUGCAUUUAGUAUUCUUGAUCUUUAGUCGAACAGUCUGGGAAGGCUGACAAGAGAGUGUGAUAGUCACGUAGACGAAAAGGAGAAAGAGCGAGCAGUAUCCAGAGUACUGCGGGGCACGUGAAAUCCCGUGGGAAGAUGGGGGGACCACCCUCCAAGCCUAAAUACUACCCAAUGACCGAUAGCGUAAAGUACUGUGAAGGAACGGUGAAAAGAACCCCGGGAGGGGAGUGAAAAGAACCUGAAACUCUGUGCUUACAAGCACAUAGAGCACGUCAAUGUGUGAUAUGGUACCUUUUGUAGAAUGGUCCGGCGAGUUAUGGUAUGCAGCGUGGUUAAGGACUUCAGGUCUGAAGCCGAAGCGAGAGCGAGUCUGACAAGGGCGAAAAGUUGUAUGCCAUAGACCCGAAACCGGGUGACCUAGCCAUGUCCAGGCUGAAGUGGAGGUAAAACUCCAUGGAGGGCCGAACCGACCUCCGUUGAAAAGGCGGCGGAUGAGAUGUGGCUAGCGGAGAAAUUCCAAUCGAACCCGGAUAUAGCUGGUUCUCCCCGAAAUAGCUUUAGGGCUAGCGUUGUAUUAGAUUACCGGAGGUAAAGCACUGAAUGGGCUAGGGGCUGAGAAGUUACUGAACCCUAUCAAACUAAGAAUGCCGGAUAAUUGAUGUACAGCAGUCAGACUAUGUGAGAUAAGUCUCAUAGUCAAAAGGGAAACAGCCCAGACCCACAGCUAAGGUCCCAAAAUGGAUUUAAGUGGAAAAGGAUGUGGAAUUGCACAGACAACCAGGAUGUUGGCUUAGAAGCAGCCACUCAUUAAAAGAGUGCGUAAUAGCUCACUGGUCGAGUGACUCUGCGCCGAAAAUUCAACGGGGCUAAAAUUCAUACCGAAGCUUGGGCUUGACAGAAAUGUCAGGGGUAGGGGAGCGUCGUAUACGAGGUGAAGUCAUAGCGGAAGCGGUGGUGGAUUGUAUACGAGUGAGAAUGCCGGAAUGAGUAGCGAGAAUUAUGUGAGAAUCAUAAUGGCCGAAAGUCUAAGGUUUCCUGAGGAAGGUUCGUCCUCUCAGGGUUAGCCGGGAGCUAAGGUGAGGCGGAAACGCGUAGCCGAUGCACAUACGGUAGAAAUUCCGUAGCCUCCGAAGAUUUAAGCACAGGGACACUUUUGAAGGGCUGAGCCGGGCGUUGGUUGCCCCGGUCGAAAGGGACACGAUUGAGUGGAAGUCAGUUUGGAAAGAGGCGAGAAAAGCUGUGUGUAUAUGAAAGGAGCCCGUACCGCAAACCGACACAGGUAGACAGGAAGAAGAUUCUAAGGCCAGCGGGAGAAGGGUUGUUAAGGAACUCGGCAAGUUGACCCCGUAACUUCGGGAGAAGGGGUGCUUACGAAGGUAAGCCGCAGAGAAUAGGCCCAAGCGACUGUUUAGCAAAAACACAGCUCUAUGCUAAAUCGAAAGAUGACGUAUAUGGGGUGACACCUGCCCGGUGCUGGAAGGUUAAGAGGAGAUGUGAGAGCAUUGAAUUGAAGCCCCAGUAAACGGCGGCCGUAACUAUAACGGUCCUAAGGUAGCGAAAUUCCUUGUCAGGUAAGUUCUGACCCGC
RNAcentral lists this ribosomal RNA (1887 nucleotides) under human gut metagenome. RNAcentral's name for it is "bacterial LSU rRNA". It matches the Rfam family "Bacterial large subunit ribosomal RNA", at positions 1 to 1991 of the family's 2925-position model. The record is from RNAcentral.